RNAcentral lists this ribosomal RNA (490 nucleotides) under uncultured bacterium. RNAcentral's name for it is "partial 16S ribosomal RNA". It matches the Rfam family "Bacterial small subunit ribosomal RNA", at positions 30 to 507 of the family's 1533-position model. The record is from RNAcentral.
AUUGAACGCUGGCGGCAGGCCUAACACAUGCAAGUCGAACGGUAACAGGAAGAAGCUUGCUUCUUUGCUGACGAGUGGCGGACGGGUGAGUAAUGUCUGGGAAACUGCCUGAUGGAGGGGGAUAACUACUGGAAACGGUAGCUAAUACCGCAUAACGACGCAAGACCAAAGUGGAGGACCUUCGGGCCGCUUGCCAUCCGAUGUGCCCAGAUGGGAUUAGCUAGUAGGUGGGGUAACGGCUCACCUAGGCGACGAUCCCUAGCUGGUCUGAGAGGAUGACCAGCCACACUGGAACUGAGACACGGUCCAGACUCCUACGGGAGGCAGCAGUGGGGAAUAUUGCACAAUGGGCGAAAGCCUGAUGCAGCAAUGCCGCGUGUAUGAAGAAGGCCUUCGGGUUGUAAAGUACUUUCAUCGGGGAGGAAGGGAGUAAAGUUAAUACCUUUACUCAUUGACGUUACCCGAAGAAGAAGCAACGGCUAACUCCGUG